GAUGAACGCUGGCGGCGUGCCUAAUACAUGCAAGUCGAGCGAACGGACGAUAAGCUUGCUUCUCUUAUGUUAGCGGCGGACGGGUGAGUAACACGUGGAUAACCUACCUCUAAUACUGGGAUAACUUCGGGAAACCGCAGCUAAUACCGGAUAAUAUUUUGUACCGCAUGGUUCAAAAGUAAAAGACGCUCUUGCUGUCUCUUAUAGAUGGAUCCGCGCUGCAUUAGCUAGUUGGUAAGGUAACGGCUUACCAAGGCAACGAUGCAUAGCCGACCUGAGAGGGUGAUCGGCCACACUGGAACUGAGACACGGUCCAGACUCCUACGGGAGGCAGCAGUAGGGAAUCUUCCGCAAUGGGCGAAAGCCUGACGGAGCAACGCCGCGUGAGUGAUGAAGGUCUUCGGAUCGUAAAACUCUGUUAUUAGGGAAGAACAUAUGUGUAAGUAACUGUGCACAUCUUGACGGUACCUAAUCAGAAAGCCACGGCUAACUACGUG
This 497-nucleotide ribosomal RNA is filed under the name uncultured bacterium. RNAcentral's name for it is "partial 16S ribosomal RNA". It matches the Rfam family "Bacterial small subunit ribosomal RNA", at positions 28 to 507 of the family's 1533-position model. The record is from RNAcentral.